Molecule: ribosomal RNA, 136 nt
Filed under: Nannospalax galili (Upper Galilee mountains blind mole rat)
Lineage: Eukaryota; Metazoa; Chordata; Mammalia; Rodentia; Spalacidae
Source: RNAcentral
GUCUACAGCCAUAGCACCCUGAACGCAUCCGAUCUCGACUGGUCUUGGAAACUAAGCAGGGUCGGACCUGGUUAGUACUUGGAUGGGAAACUUGAUUUUCUUUUUCUUCAACUUUAAACCCUGAAGGUCUUAGUCC